RNAcentral lists this ribosomal RNA (568 nucleotides) under uncultured archaeon. Its description in RNAcentral is "bacterial SSU rRNA". It matches the Rfam family "Archaeal small subunit ribosomal RNA", at positions 326 to 900 of the family's 1478-position model. The record is from RNAcentral.
CGGGGUGCAGCAGGCGCGAAAACUUUACAAUGCUGGAAACAGCGAUAAGGGAACCUCGAGUGCCAGGUUACAAAUCUGGCUGUCGUGAUGCCUAAAAAGCAUUGCAUAGCAAGGGCCGGGCAAGACCGGUGCCAGCCGCCGCGGUAACACCGGCGGCUCGAGUGGUAACCGUUAUUAUUGGGUCUAAAGGGUCUGUAGCCGGCCGGAUAAGUCUCUUGGGAAAUCUGGCAGCUUAACUGUCAGGCUUUCAGGAGAUACUGUCUGGCUCGAGGCCGGGAGAGGUGAGAGGUACUUCAGGGGUAGGGGUGAAAUCUUGUAAUCCUUGAAGGACCACCAGUGGCGAAGGCGUCUCACCAGAACGGACCUGACGGCAAGGGACGAAAGCUAGGGGCACGAACCGGAUUAGAUACCCGGGUAGUCCUAGCCGUAAACGAUACUCGCUAGGUGUCGGCCACGGUGCGAUCGUGGUCGGUGCCGUAGGGAAGCCGUGAAGCGAGCCACCUGGGAAGUACGGCCGCAAGGCUGAAACUUAAAGGAAUUGGCGGGGGAGCACAAGGGCGAUUCGCGG